UACGGGGGGAGCAAGCGUUGUUCGGAUUUACUGGGCGUAAAGGCGCGUAGGCGGCGCAACAAGUCACUUGUGAAAUCUCCGGGCUUAACCCGGAGCGGUCAAGUGAUACUGUCGUGCUAGAGUGCGGAAGGGGCUACUGGAAUUCUCGGUGUAGCGGUGAAAUGCGUAGAUAUCGAGAGGAACACCUGCGGCGAAGGCGGGUAGCUGGGCCGACACUGACGCUGAUGCGCGAAAGCCAGGGGAGCGAAGCGGG
This 253-nucleotide ribosomal RNA is filed under the name uncultured bacterium. Its description in RNAcentral is "partial 16S ribosomal RNA". It matches the Rfam family "Bacterial small subunit ribosomal RNA", at positions 524 to 777 of the family's 1533-position model. The record is from RNAcentral.